GCUAUUUGGUACCGCUUGCAGGGCGGCGACCACGAGUUACCUGCCCCUAUACAAUGAGUUAAUUGCCCCUGUAUUUCAUCUGUUAAGUUGUACUUAAAAUAGGCUAACUCUUGCGCAAAAAAAGAUAGAAAAUAUCAAAUAUGGGAAAGCGGGACGAUAGACCAAACAUAUAUCUACGAAGAGACCGUUGUUGGUGCCGGAAAUAUCUCUGUCUUUAGUAGUGUCCGCGAGGUAUAUUAAUUUAUAAAACAUGAGAUAUUAGUACCAUAUUGCCCGGGAAUCAAAAGAUUUUUGCAAGAUCGCAGAAUUCAGCUAGACACAAAAAAAAAAGACAAUCACUACAGCCUUCCAAGAAGAUGGACUGCCUCACAAUAGUUUCCUUGAGGACUGUCUUGAAAUAUCCAGAGUUUAAGAAGUAGACAAUUUGAAAGUGAAAAGGAAGUGCCAGGAAACGUCAGAAUGCAGGACAGAAUGCAGGAGUUGCACCAUUUACCCUACAGCUUCUGGGGGCCUAGGCCGCCCCCAACCUACUGGGAGUAACCUCUCUCUCUCUCUCUCUCUCUCUCUCUCUCUCUCUCUCUCUCAUUUCUUUGGGAUAUCAGAAAAAGAUAGCGGAUAGACGUUGUGAAAAGUAUCUAAACGAUCAAGUACUGGGACCCCCCCCCCCCCUUUCACUUCAAAAAUUCCUACACCCGCUUCUGUACAAGAUAUACUUCACAAGAGAUAGAAUCCGGCAGUAACUCGAAAAUCCAGGUUUUCUGCAACUCGUCGUAGUUACUUCAGUGUGUAAUUUUUACGACAAGUUUAAUUUUUAGUGAAUUACAUUCUCAAACAAAUGUGAUAAAAGUUGAUGAUCAGACAUCGUCAUAUUCCACUUUUCCCCUCUCUAAAUAUAACUAUGAUCAUUUGACCCAGCUGACGUUUUUGUGAGCAAAAUAUUUACGAAGGUAAUGUGACCAGGGUUAAAUACUAGAUGAUACAAAGAGAAGAAAUAAUGGAGUUUGAAUGAUAUCAAUGAUGUUUAUUUGUGUUUGAAUGCAUGAUGGUGAUCAUUGUACAUUGAUAAAGUGGCUUUUUAUAGGAUCCGAAACAGUGACAUGUGAGAAAGUUGGUUGGCGGGGAUUUCUACUUUCACUUUUGAGGAUGCAGUAAACGGACGACAGGAGGGGAAGCUGCGCAUUUCCUCGUUGGAUGAUUUGUGUACAUGUGUGGACAUGGAUGUCAUUUCAGUGAGUUCACUUGGAUUUGAGAGGCUGAGCAAAGGCACAAAGAAAUUGUUUCCUGAGUAUAGAGUCUGAAACGAGGAUAUUGCAUCAUUCCUGAUCAGGCAAGUCUGGCUUGUUCAUUUAUUUUAUUUAUCAUUUCUUUUUUCUUUUUUUUUUGAAUUAUUUUUUAUUCAUUUAUUGGUUUACAAUAUUACAGAAGGUGAAAUGUACAUGUUUAACUAUUUCUGUGUAUCAUGCAUGUGUAUUUGUUUUAAUUUUUAAUUUUCUUUGGGGGGGGGGGGGGGGGGGGCUGUUAUCAGUUUGUGUAGAGUGUCAGUUUUGUGUAUUACUUAAAGAUCAGUACCAGUGUCCUACUGUUGAACAUUGGGCAGAUAUGUAAAUUGGCACUUGGUUGGUUUAUGCAGUCCUCCUUGACAUUGACAGGGCUUUCCCAUGGAGACUGUUUUCCAAGUUAUGCUAGAGUGUCAGUCAUCUAUCUGUGUCUCGCAAGUACUUGGUGCAGACAGCUAUCAUGCUGAAUCCCGUGAAGGAAGGGGAUAUAGACUUCCUUUGGAAUGACGUACAUACUCAAUGUUGCGUCGCUUGUGGAGACCCACAUCUUGAAGAGUGACCUUGACUUUUGACCUUGACCCCAUUUUUAAAGGUCAACCACCUAAGACUUUGUGGAGGAGAAAGUGAUUUUGACCUUGACCCACUUUCAAGGUCAUUCAAGGUCAACAAUCCUAGAAUAUCAUGUGACUACUCCUAAAGAUGUAGAUGGAGGUUUAUGAUAGAAAACGUCAUUUUUUGGCCCCUAUUUGCCCCCUGGGGCCAAUAUGAAAAUUCCGAAACCUUAUUGCACAUCUACAGGACAUUACUAUUCAGCUCCUUGAAUAUCAUGUGACUAUUCCUAAAGAUGUAGAUGGAGUUAAAGUGACAAGCUUUGUGAAAGAAAACGUCAUUUUUCAGCCCCUAUUUGCCCCCUAGGGCCAAUAUGAAAAUUCCGAAACCUUAUUGCACAUCUACAGGACAUUACUAUUCAGCUCCUAGAAUAUCAUGUGACUGCUCCUACAGAUGUAGAUGGAGUUUAAGUGACAAGCUUUAUGUUAGAAAAUGUCAUUUUUCAGGCCCUAUUUGCCCCCUGGGGCCAAUAUGAACAUUCUGAAACCUUAUUGCACAUCUACAGGACUUUGCUAUUCAGCUCCUAGAAUAUCAUUUGGAUUGCGCUGUAAAUGUGGACACAGUUUUAGUGACAACAACCGGGACAGACGGACGGACGGACGGACCGGGAUAAAAACAAUAUACCCGAACUUUCUUUAGAAAGUGCGGGUAUAAUGAAGCAUUGCACAAAGUUUCAAGACUAUCCGAUAAGCCAUAUAGGAGAAGUGUUCACAAGAUUUUGUGACAGACAGAA
Ostrea edulis (European flat oyster) is the source of this 2619-nucleotide long non-coding RNA. RefSeq lists it as uncharacterized. The record is from RefSeq and is a predicted model, not a curated record. NCBI's taxonomy places the organism in Eukaryota, Metazoa, Mollusca, Bivalvia, Ostreida, Ostreidae. The transcript has 3 exons.